Molecule: ribosomal RNA, 749 nt
Filed under: uncultured bacterium
Lineage: Bacteria
Description: bacterial SSU rRNA
Rfam family: Bacterial small subunit ribosomal RNA
Source: RNAcentral
GAGUUUGAUCCUGGCUCAGAACGAACGCUGGCGGCAGGCCUAAUACAUGCAAGUCGAGCGCAUUCUUCGGAAUGAGCGGCGGACGGGUGAGUAACGCGUGGGAAUAUGCCCUUCUCUAAGGAAUAGCCUCUGGAAACGGAGAGUAAUACCUUAUACGCCCUUCGGGGGAAAGAUUUAUCGGAGAAGGAUUAGCCCGCGUUAGAUUAGGUAGUUGGUGGGGUAAUGGCCUACCAAGCCUACGAUCUAUAGCUGGUUUGAGAGGAUGAUCAGCCACACUGGGACUGAGACACGGCCCAGACUCCUACGGGAGGCAGCAGUAGGGAAUCUUAGACAAUGGGGGAAACCCUGAUCUAGCCAUGCCGCGUGUGUGAUGAAGGCCCUAGGGUCGUAAAGCACUUUCGCCAGAGAUGAUAAUGACAGUAUCUGGUAAAGAAACCCCGGCUAACUCCGUGCCAGCAGCCGCGGUAAUACGGAGGGGGUUAGCGUUGUUCGGAAUUACUGGGCGUAAAGCGCACGUAGGCGGAUUAGUAAGUUAGAGGUGAAAUCCCAGGGCUCAACCCUGGAACUGCCUUUAAUACUGCUAGUCUUGAGUUCGAGAGAGGUAAGUGGAAUUCCGAGUGUAGAGGUGAAAUUCGUAGAUAUUCGGAGGAACACCAGUGGCGAAAGCGGCUUACUGGCUCGAUACUGACGCUGAGGUGCGAAAGUGUGGGGAGCAAACAGGAUUAGAUACCCUGGUAGUCCACACCGUA